RNAcentral lists this ribosomal RNA (433 nucleotides) under uncultured bacterium. RNAcentral describes it as "partial 16S ribosomal RNA". It matches the Rfam family "Bacterial small subunit ribosomal RNA", at positions 29 to 507 of the family's 1533-position model. The record is from RNAcentral.
AACGAACGCUGGCGGCAUGCCUAACACAUACAAGUCGAACGAGACCUUCGGGUCUAGUGGCGCACGGGUGCGUAACGCGUGGGAACCUGCCCUUAGGUUCGGAAUAACUCCCCGAAAGGGGUGCUAAUACCGGAUAAUGUCUUCGGACCAAAGAUUUAUCGCCUUUGGAUGGGCCCGCGUUGGAUUAGCUAGUUGGUAGGGUAAAAGCCUACCAAGGCGACGAUCCAUAGCUGGUCUGAGAGGAUGAUCAGCCACACUGGGACUGAGACACGGCCCAGACUCCUACGGGAGGCAGCAGUGGGGAAUAUUGGACAAUGGGCGAAAGCCUGAUCCAGCAAUGCCGCGUGAGUGAUGAAGGCCUUAGGGUUGUAAAGCUCUUUUACCCGGGAUGAUAAUGACAGUACCGGGAGAAUAAGCACCGGCUAACUCCGUG